GAUCCUGGCUCAGGAUGAACGCUAGCUACAGGCUUAACACAUGCAAGUCGAGGGGCAGCAUGGUCUUAGCUUGCUAAGGCCGAUGGCGACCGGCGCACGGGUGAGUAACACGUAUCCAACCUGCCGUCUACUCUUGGACAGCCUUCUGAAAGGAAGAUUAAUACAAGAUGGCAUCAUGAGUUCACAUGUUCACAUGAUUAAAGGUAUUCCGGGUAGACGAGUGGGG
Molecule: ribosomal RNA, 226 nt
Filed under: uncultured bacterium
Lineage: Bacteria
Description: partial 16S ribosomal RNA
Rfam family: Bacterial small subunit ribosomal RNA
Source: RNAcentral